UAAAAGCAGUGUUUUCACGCCCGACCCGAACCGUCCGGUCCGACCGGUUAACCCGUGACCCGAACACUUUUCCGGUUUGGGUUUAGUGCUAAAACCCAACAAGUUCAAAACCGAAAAAACCCACAAAAACUCGCAAUUAACUCGUGACCCGGUGAACCGGUUGAACCGGCCGGGUGUGGGUUUUAAAAAGUUCUCUUGAUUUUAU
RNAcentral lists this small RNA (205 nucleotides) under Arabidopsis thaliana (thale cress). RNAcentral's name for it is "ATSL283030". Lineage: Eukaryota; Viridiplantae; Streptophyta; Magnoliopsida; Brassicales; Brassicaceae. The record is from RNAcentral.